AGUGAACGCUGGCGGCAGGCCUAACACAUGCAAGUCGAGCGGCAGCGCGGGGGCAACCCUGGCGGCGAGCGGCGGACGGGUGAGGAAUUCGUCGGAAUCUGCCUUUUUGUGGGGGAUAACGUAGGGAAACUUACGCUAAUACCGCAUACGUCCUACGGGAGAAAGUGGGGGACCGCAAGGCCUCACGCAGAAAGAUGAGCCGACGACCGAUUAGCUAGUUGGUGGGGUAAAGGCCCACCAAGGCGACGAUCGGUAGCUGGUCUGAGAGGAUGAUCAGCCACACUGGGACUGAGACACGGCCAAGACUCCUACGGGAGGCAGCAGUGGCGAAUAUUGGCGAAUGGGCGCAAGCCUGAUCCAGCCAUGCCGCGUGUGUGAAGAAGGCCUUCGGGUUGUAAAGCACUUUUGUCCGGAAAGAAAUCCCUGGAGCUAAUACCUUCGGGGGAUGAAGGUACCGGAAGAAUAAGCACCGGCUAACUUCGUG
This 484-nucleotide ribosomal RNA is filed under the name uncultured bacterium. Its description in RNAcentral is "partial 16S ribosomal RNA". It matches the Rfam family "Bacterial small subunit ribosomal RNA", at positions 29 to 507 of the family's 1533-position model. The record is from RNAcentral.